AUUGAACGCUGGCGGCAGGCCUAACACAUGCAAGUCGAGCGGUAACAGAUCCAGCUUGCUGGAUGCUGACGAGCGGCGGACGGGUGAGUAAUGCAUAGGAAUCUGCCCGAUAGUGGGGGAUAACCUGGGGAAACCCAGGCUAAUACCGCAUACGUCCUACGGGAGAAAGGGGGCUCCGGCUCCCGCUAUGGGAUGAGCCUAUGUCGGAUUAGCUAGUUGGUGAGGUAACGGCUCACCAAGGCCACGAUCCGUAGCUGGUCUGAGAGGAUGAUCAGCCACAUCGGGACUGAGACACGGCCCGA
This 302-nucleotide ribosomal RNA is filed under the name uncultured bacterium. RNAcentral describes it as "bacterial SSU rRNA". It matches the Rfam family "Bacterial small subunit ribosomal RNA", at positions 30 to 334 of the family's 1533-position model. The record is from RNAcentral.